UCAGUUCCUACGACUAUAGGAAACGUGUU
This 29-nucleotide non-coding RNA is filed under the name Rattus norvegicus (Norway rat). The record is from RNAcentral. Lineage: Eukaryota; Metazoa; Chordata; Mammalia; Rodentia; Muridae.